AGACGAUUCGAACCGUCCUACGAAGAUUCAUUCAUAACCAGAUUUACUUGCACCAUGUUGAAGAUUACUUGUAAAUCUUUCUUCUGUAGUCUGCAUUAAUAAAUCGCUCUCUCCAGGAUUUGAAACCUGGAUUUCCUGUAAUCUGCAAGAAAUUGCAUAGUCAGGGGUUCGAACCCCAGACCUAAGUGUAGAAGCUUUUAAACCUUAACUAGUUAGCUACAGUGCUUCCACAAUGAUAAUCUCCUUUCUAAAUUUUAGUUUUUCAUUGUAGUUAGGACCGGCCCUAAAAUUUUGGGGGCUAUAGAUGUUAAUAAUAAUUUUAAUAAUUUUGGGACUGAAUUUUUUUUAAUAAAAAUUUUGGAGUCUAUGUAUAUAUAUUUUUCAAAAAAUUUGUAGGUUUGAAACAAAUAUUUUGUUGGCUUGGCCUAAAAUCGGCCCUGAUCGCAGCGGUCCAUAACUCCCAACAACGUGAUGGACUAUGCAGUCGCUGCUUCACUCCAACAUCGAAUUUGGAAACAACUAUCUUAUCAAGAGGGAGAACAUGAACGGUCGUUGUAAUAACCGACAAAUAGCCGUUGUCCAAACAAACAAUUUGAUCAACCAUAAAUAAAUCUAACAAUAAUAAAAGGAGAAUAAGCUCAAUGUUCAGGGUGUCCACAUAGGACUAUAAAAUUAGCCAAUAGGAAGCUUCCAAAUAGCCAUAUCGUUCUUUUGUUAUUGAAACAGAUUUUUCGUUGGCCAAUUCAUGUGGGUUCAUAAUAUUAAUAAACCACGGCCCAGUUUUAACCAGCCCAACCCUAAUUCCAAGCACUCUACGCUUAAGUCGUCUUGGACUCUCCACCUUCACGAUCAUUGUUUCUGACUUCUGAAAGCCAACGUUUAUGUGAAGUUAUCACCACCCACUAAAGCUCAUUCAAUAUGUUCUUUACACAUAUCUUAAUAAGAGAUUUUAUCCUUUCACCUCCCUUUCUUUCUCCUUUUAUAUAAACCCUAAAUCAAAACUUUCGAUAUAAACUCUACUUCAAAGCGAUCUAUGACCUCCAUAAAACACAUUGCACUGCGAACCAAAUCAUGAAUACCUGAAGAGCCUACACAUUUUAUCUAAAUCAAUCAGAGAAGUUUUUGAUAGCAAAAGAGUUACGGAACCAACUGAAAGGCAGGAAAAUCUUUGUGAAAACAUAGAACCAUUUGUGAAUUUGCUUGAGAGUGAACUAUGACGUUUAUGAAUUGUGGCUGGAUACAUGUCUGCGCAUGAGCAAACUCCUGGGAAUACAGCCUCGAGCUGUCUCUUAGACUCAACAUGUCGCUUAGCCUCAUCAAUUACCUCAUAGACUCUCACGCUUGCAUUUGGUCAUAUGCUUUUCACUGAUGGCCUUCCAGGUUUGGGAAAUCAAGAGGGAAGCAUCACAAUCCUAAACGAUCAUUCAAAACAUUGCUUGAUCAGUGUAACUUACGUCUACGUACAUUAAUAAGUCCAUAUAUAUUUAUUUACGCACACAAUGAGAAGCUUACGAAACGUGAGAAAGCUAUCAGGUAACUGAAGCGAAGCAAUGAUGCAAUAAUGAUAUGGUCACGGCGAAAUUGUUGGCAAUGAAAGUAGAUAUGACAGAUCCAGCGUGGGGGCAUGGCUGUUUGUAGAAUUCAAGCCGGAGUUUGCGCCAAAGCAGAGGCAACAUGGAAACAAAAAAGUAAAAAAACAGUUGUGCUUUCCCUCAUUUCCUUGCCUCUCCUGUGAAAACAUAGAAAUAGUUUUGGAUUGUGUUGUUUGUUAGUGUCCGUAAAAUGCAUGUUUCAGUUCAAAAACGCGCAUAGUGUAAAAUCGAUAUUGGCCUUUACUGGUUUAAAUCAGUACGGUAUAUAUGUCGUAGUUGUGCUUUAACAAAUGUUUCCGUAAAUAAUGUUAUAGAUCAUCUUCCCCACGUCAAAAGACUGGUUAUGUCCAAUUGGGAAUAUAUUUAUUUUUAACAUGUUGCGACAUAACGAAAGGUAUAUUCAAUUAAUACCAUUUCUAU
Molecule: long non-coding RNA, 2012 nt
Organism: Brassica napus (rape)
Lineage: Eukaryota; Viridiplantae; Streptophyta; Magnoliopsida; Brassicales; Brassicaceae
Exons: 4
Source: RefSeq, a predicted model, not a curated record